This is a long non-coding RNA of Antechinus flavipes (yellow-footed antechinus), 738 nucleotides long. RefSeq lists it as uncharacterized. Lineage: Eukaryota; Metazoa; Chordata; Mammalia; Dasyuromorphia; Dasyuridae. The transcript is spliced from 6 exons. The record is from RefSeq and is a predicted model, not a curated record.
CAGAGAGUAUAAUAGCUUUUGCCUCCAAUAAUGAAAAAUUCAGGUGGUCUUCUUGAACUUUUUGCCCUAACACCUUGAAAGUCAGCUACAUAUCUGCCAACAGAACAAUCAGGUAUUUCUGCCAGACAAUGCUGUUAUUGAAGUGAGUGUAUGCUUCGGGGCAUGCAUGGAAAGGAACAAGCCCAGCCAUACAGCACAGAAGAUAUCUAAGGGAAGAAAAUGCAGAGACAAAGCGCCCCUGGCUGCUUUCUUUGAAGUUAUAAGAAAACCCAGAGCCAUGUCCACGUACCAGAAAUAUUCCGGGAAGCCCAGACACAGAAGUCAUGCCCUUCUUGCACUUUGGAGACUUAUUAAGACGAUUGCCAUUCUGACUAGCCAAAGCUGCUCAAAGGGCCGGGCCCAGGGAUAUAAUUUACUGAGCAUGCUUGGACAGGCCGUCUGCAUUCUCCCCUAAGUUAAAGAAUUUGCACCACCUGCAAAUUAUACUAGUAUGGUGGCCUUUGCACGGACGUCCUGCCCUUUCCUGAAGUCACUGGGGGAUCACCUCAUUGCUCACCAAUCCCAGGACAUCGUACAUCAGGCAGGCCCGCAAUAACUUGCUGCUUCUUUUGGAUCCUCAAUUAAUGACCAGGUACAACUGCUUAGGAGUCAAUAACAGCAUCUUGUUAUUAUUGGAAGAAGCCUUCCUUAGAUCCUGGUGUGUUUCCGUAUUCAUCUGCGUGUUCCAGAUGCUUUUCC